AUCAGGAAGUCUUGCUUUCUUUCAUAUUACACAUCAGGGUGGACAACAACAACAAUAUCAUGGUUAUGUUUAUGCUCGGAGUAGGGUAAGGAGUUGAACUCUAAGGAUAGGUUUGGCGAUGGAGUUUGGGUUACGAAUUCAAGUACUGAAAACACAGUUUUGGAUUAACACUGACCAAAUGCAUCACUGGGAACAACAAGGACACAAGGGAAGCAUCUCUCAUUGAACACAAACAAAGAUAUUUAGAUGGAGAUAUGAUGUCCACACAAUGCAGGUCAAAGGGGUCCAAACUUCCAAGCUCCAAAAGGCACAAAGUGAAAUUCAAGGACUCUCAAGUUCAAAGUUUGAAUGAGGCUGGGCGGAAUUUCAUCUCAGUGAAGGGAAUUGAGAAAUCUUUGCCUUUCCACCCUGUCCAGAUUACUCCCUGAGAGAGAUCAUAUGCACAUGAUAGAGACCUUAUAAUCAGCAUAU
Molecule: long non-coding RNA, 471 nt
Organism: Myxocyprinus asiaticus (Chinese sucker)
Lineage: Eukaryota; Metazoa; Chordata; Actinopteri; Cypriniformes; Catostomidae
Exons: 3
Source: RefSeq, a predicted model, not a curated record